AAUAGAUACCCCGGUAGUCCACGCCGUAAACGUUGGGCGCUAGAUGUGGGGGCCAUUCCACGGUUUCCGCGUCGUAGCUANACGCAUUAAGCGCCCCGCCUGGGGAGUACGGCCGCAAGGCUAAAACUCAAAGGAAUUGACGGGGGCCCGCACAAGCGGCGGAGCAUGCGGAUUAAUUCGAUGCAACGCGAAGAACCUUACCAAGGCUUGACAUAUACGAGAACACUGCAGAAAUGUAGGACUCUUUGGACACUCGUAUACAGGUGGUGCAUGGUUGUCGUCAGCUCGUGUCGUGAGAUGUUGGGUUAAGUCCCGCAACGAGCGCAACCCUCGUCGCAUGUUGCCAGCACGUAAAGGUGGGAACUCAUGUGAGACUGCCGGGGUCAACUCGGAGGAAGGUGGGGAUGACGUCAAAUCAUCAUGCCCCUUAUGUCUUGGGCUUCACGCAUGCUACAAUGGCCGGUACAAAGGGCUGCAAUACCGUAAGGUGGAGCGAAUCCCAAAAAGCCGGUCUCAGUUCGGAUUG
Molecule: ribosomal RNA, 526 nt
Filed under: uncultured bacterium
Lineage: Bacteria
Description: bacterial SSU rRNA
Rfam family: Bacterial small subunit ribosomal RNA
Source: RNAcentral